UACGUAGGGUGCGAGCGUUAAUCGGAAUUACUGGGCGUAAAGCGUGCGCAGGCGGCGCGUUAAGACAGGUGUGAAAAGCCCCCGAGCUUAACUUGGGAAUUGCGCUUGUGACUGGCGUGCUGGAGUGUGGCAGAGGGAGGUGGAAUUCCACGUGUAGCAGUGAAAUGCGUAGAGAUGUGGAGGAACACCGAUGGCGAAGGCAGCCUCCUGGGCCAGCACUGACGCUCAUGCACGAAAGCGUGGGGAGCAAACAGG
RNAcentral lists this ribosomal RNA (255 nucleotides) under uncultured bacterium. RNAcentral describes it as "partial 16S ribosomal RNA". It matches the Rfam family "Bacterial small subunit ribosomal RNA", at positions 524 to 776 of the family's 1533-position model. The record is from RNAcentral.